RNAcentral lists this ribosomal RNA (253 nucleotides) under uncultured bacterium. RNAcentral's name for it is "partial 16S ribosomal RNA". It matches the Rfam family "Bacterial small subunit ribosomal RNA", at positions 524 to 776 of the family's 1533-position model. The record is from RNAcentral.
UACAGAGGUCCCAAGCGUUGUUCGGAUUCACUGGGCGUAAAGGGUGCGUAGGCGGUCGGGUAAGUCUGAUGUGAAAUCUCACAGCUUAACUGUGAAACUGCAUUGGAUACUAUCCGGCUCGAGGAAUGGAGGGGAGACUGGAAUACUUGGUGUAGCAGUGAAAUGCGUAGAUAUCAAGUGGAACACCAGUGGCGAAGGCGAGUCUCUGGACAGUUCCUGACACUGAGGCACGAAGGCCAGGGGAGCAAACGGG